Molecule: small nuclear RNA, 108 nt
Filed under: Anopheles farauti
Lineage: Eukaryota; Metazoa; Arthropoda; Insecta; Diptera; Culicidae
Source: RNAcentral
GUCCAGCUUAACGCUAGACAUAUACUAAAAUUGGAACGAUACACAGAAGAUUAGCAUGGCCCCUGCGCAAGGAUGACAAAAAAAUAAUUUCAGGAAAAAUAUCUUAAU